RNAcentral lists this ribosomal RNA (292 nucleotides) under uncultured bacterium. Its description in RNAcentral is "partial 16S ribosomal RNA". It matches the Rfam family "Bacterial small subunit ribosomal RNA", at positions 505 to 796 of the family's 1533-position model. The record is from RNAcentral.
GUGUCAGCAGCCGCGGUAAGACGGAGGGCGCAAGCGUUGUUCGGAAUUACUGGGCGUAAAGCGCGGGCAGGUGGUCUGUUAAGUUUGCGGUGAAAUCCCGGGGCUCAACUCCGGAUAUGCCGCGAAUACUGGCGGACUAGAGACCGGUAGAGGCAAGUGGAAUUCCAGGUGUAGCGGUGGAAUGCGUAGAUAUCUGGAAGAACACCGGUGGCGAAGGCGGCUUGCUGGGCCGGUUCUGACACUCAGCCGCGAAAGCGUGGGGAGCAAACAGGAUUAGAAACCCGCGUAGUCC